UACAAAAUUACAAAAUAUUUAGACAAUGAUUCAUAAAUUUAUCAUAAAUAAGAUCAAUUUUAAUAAAAUAAAUGAUUUUUUUUUACGACACGAGUUGGUGGAACGGGUUUGGCAGAACGUUACUUAAUAACAAUUGUAAACUAUAAAAUAUAUAGAUACAAUUUGCAAACUUUUAUAUAUGCUAAAUUUUAAAAAUAAAUUGUUCUCACGAUAUACUGCGGGUUAAAAUCUAGUAUU
This 237-nucleotide small RNA is filed under the name Arabidopsis thaliana (thale cress). RNAcentral describes it as "ATSL024970". Lineage: Eukaryota; Viridiplantae; Streptophyta; Magnoliopsida; Brassicales; Brassicaceae. The record is from RNAcentral.